GUUUGAGAUAAUUUCUUGAUAAGAGAAAUGAUGGGUACUUUUGAAAUCUUGAAAUCCCCAUUAAGCCAAAGAGAGAUAGUCUAACAUUGUUUAGUAUAAGAAGAUAAAAAAGAGGGAGGAACAAAACCUGCCAUAGAGUGGGAAAGCAACUAUAUGCUGUCAGCUCGGAGAAAAUUCCCCUGUUCAUAGUCAGAGUGUAGCCCGAGAACACUUUCUUCCUCACUUUCACAACCACUUUCUUCUUCCACACAUCUAACAACUUCCAGCACUAUUCUGAAAGGGGGGAAAGAUGUUCGUCAUUAUGCCAUUUUUAAUUAUUAUCCUGUCAUCAGACUACAGCAAAGGACAAUGCACCGGAGAAUUCUCCCACCAGAUGGCUGAACCCAAACAAAUGCAGUGUAGCUUUAAUGGUAUGUACCCAGAAGGCAUGAUAAACUGGUUUCAUUAUGACAAGAACCUGACUUCCAGCUCUACAGUCACAAGCCUGGUGAACUCUGAUGGAACGUUCAACAUCACAAGUGUCCUAAACAUCCAGGACGAUCAAGAGAGAUAUAAAUGCUCACUGUGGUCACUCAAACACGGACAGUACCAUAAAGAUCAAGAGUUUGAAGUCCCAGUUCAUGCUGAUUCCAGGCCCAUUAGCAGGAUCAGCACACAACAUUGUUUAUCAUGGACUCUUAUCCUUCUUAGCCUGAUGUUGUGUUUGAGAGCCUGUUUGUCUCUAUAAUCUGUACAUGCCAACUCAACCCAACUAUCACAAGACCUGAUGACAUAACCACAGAUCUGGUGGGUUUUAAUAAAUGGAAUUUGCCAAAUAAACUGACCAUCUAAUCAAUAUAGUGGUAGAAUAUUUGCCUGCCAUGUGCUAGAUCUGGAUCUAAUUAAAGACCAGGGAAUAUAAAUCUUGAGUUUUACCUGAAGACAUAGCCACAGGAUAUAGCAGUGAACUGACACCCACAGCUUCUCUUUUACUGAGUUAUGACUGGAUUCAUUUAAGAAAAUGCACUGACAUGAAAAACCCAAACUAUUUCAAACAGCAUUUUGCAAAUGUAUUUAUUCCCAUUCUUUAUGC
Molecule: long non-coding RNA, 1072 nt
Filed under: Sinocyclocheilus anshuiensis
Lineage: Eukaryota; Metazoa; Chordata; Actinopteri; Cypriniformes; Cyprinidae
Description: lncRNA (ENSSANG00000010151.1)
Source: RNAcentral